This 71-nucleotide transfer RNA is filed under the name Myotis davidii. It matches the Rfam family "tRNA". From Rfam's summary of the family: Transfer RNA (tRNA) molecules are approximately 80 nucleotides in length. Their secondary structure includes four short double-helical elements and three loops (D, anti-codon, and T loops). Lineage: Eukaryota; Metazoa; Chordata; Mammalia; Chiroptera; Vespertilionidae. The record is from Rfam by way of RNAcentral.
CCCUGAUUGGCUCAGUGGAUAGAGCAUUGACCUGCGGACUCAAAGGUCCCAGGUUCGAUUCCAAUCAAGGG